UACGUAGGGUGCAAGCGUUAAUCGGAAUUACUGGGCGUAAAGCGUGCGCAGGCGGCUAUGCAAGACAGAUGUGAAAUCCCCGGGCUCAACCUGGGAACUGCAUUUGUGACUGCAUGGCUAGAGUACGGUAGAGGGGGAUGGAAUUCCGCGUGUAGCAGUGAAAUGCGUAGAUAUGCGGAGGAACACCGAUGGCAAAGGCAAUCCCCUGGACCUGUACUGACGCUCAUGCACGAAAGCGUGGGGAGCAAACAGG
This 253-nucleotide ribosomal RNA is filed under the name uncultured bacterium. Its description in RNAcentral is "partial 16S ribosomal RNA". It matches the Rfam family "Bacterial small subunit ribosomal RNA", at positions 524 to 776 of the family's 1533-position model. The record is from RNAcentral.